Molecule: ribosomal RNA, 433 nt
Filed under: uncultured bacterium
Lineage: Bacteria
Description: partial 16S ribosomal RNA
Rfam family: Bacterial small subunit ribosomal RNA
Source: RNAcentral
AACGAACGCUGGCGGCAUGCCUAACACAUGCAAGUCGAACGAGACCUUCGGGUCUAGUGGCGCACGGGUGCGUAACGCGUGGGAACCUGCCCUUAGGUUCGGAAUAACUCCCCGAAAGGGGUGCUAAUACCGGAUAAUGUCUUCGGACCAAAGAUUUAUCGCCUUUGGAUGGUCCCGCGUUGGAUUAGCUAGUUGGUAGGGUAAAAGCCUACCAAGGCGACGAUCCAUAGCUGGUCUGAGAGGAUGAUCAGCCACACUGGGACUGAGACACGGCCCAGACUCCUACGGGAGGCAGCAGUGGGGAAUAUUGGACAAUGGGCGAAAGCCUGAUCCAGCAAUGCCGCGUGAGUGAUGAAGGCCUGAGGGUUGUAAAGCUCUUUUACCCGGGAUGAUAAUGACAGUACCGGGAGAAUAAGCUCCGGCUAACUCCGUG